RNAcentral lists this ribosomal RNA (465 nucleotides) under uncultured bacterium. RNAcentral's name for it is "partial 16S ribosomal RNA". It matches the Rfam family "Bacterial small subunit ribosomal RNA", at positions 28 to 507 of the family's 1533-position model. The record is from RNAcentral.
GAUGAACGCUGGCGGCGUGCUUAACACAUGCAAGUCGAACGGAAAGGCCCAAGCUUGCUUGGGUACUCGAGUGGCGAACGGGUGAGUAACACGUGGGUAAUCUGCCCUUCACUUAGGGAUAAGCCUGGGAAACUGGGGCUAAUACCGGAUAGGAUCUCUUGUUGCAUGGUGUGGUGGAGAGAUUUGCGGUGUGGGAUGAGCUCGCGGCUUAUCAGCUGGUUGGUGGGGUAGUGGCCUACCAAGGCGUCGACGGGUAGCCGGCCUGAGAGGGUGAACGGCCACAUUGGGACUGAGAUACGGCCCAGACUCCUACGGGAGGCAGCAGUGGGGAAUAUUGCACAAUGGGCGCAAGCCUGAUGCAGCGACGCCGCGUGGGGGAUGACGGCCUUCGGGUUGUAAACUCCUUUCGCUGGGGACGAAGCGCAAGUGACGGUACCUGGUGAAGAAGCACCGGCUAACUACGUG